This 58-nucleotide transfer RNA is filed under the name Camelus bactrianus (Bactrian camel). It matches the Rfam family "tRNA", at positions 8 to 63 of the family's 71-position model. Rfam says of the family: Transfer RNA (tRNA) molecules are approximately 80 nucleotides in length. Their secondary structure includes four short double-helical elements and three loops (D, anti-codon, and T loops). Further hydrogen bonds mediate the characteristic L-shaped molecular structure. tRNAs have two regions of fundamental functional importance: the anti-codon, which is responsible for specific mRNA codon recognition, and the 3' end, to which the tRNAs corresponding amino acid is attached (by aminoacyl-tRNA synthetases). tRNAs cope with the degeneracy of the genetic code in two manners: having more than one tRNA (with a specific anti-codon) for a particular amino acid; and 'wobble' base-pairing, i.e. permitting non-standard base-pairing at the 3rd anti-codon position. RNAcentral also lists the same sequence under 3 other names. The record is from Rfam by way of RNAcentral. Lineage: Eukaryota; Metazoa; Chordata; Mammalia; Artiodactyla; Camelidae.
UAGCUCAAGUGGUAGAGUGCAUGCUUAGCAUGCAUGAGUUCCUGGGUUCAAGCCCCAG